RNAcentral lists this ribosomal RNA (440 nucleotides) under uncultured bacterium. Its description in RNAcentral is "partial 16S ribosomal RNA". It matches the Rfam family "Bacterial small subunit ribosomal RNA", at positions 338 to 795 of the family's 1533-position model. The record is from RNAcentral.
CCUACGGGCGGCAGCAGUGGGGAAUAUUGGACAAUGGGGGGAACCCUGAUCCAGCGACGCCGCGUGAGUGAAGAAGUAUUUCGGUAUGUAAAGCUCUAUCAGCAGGGAAGAAAAUGACGGUACCUGACUAAGAAGCCCCGGCUAACUACGUGCCAGCAGCCGCGGUAAUACGUAGGGGGCAAGCGUUAUCCGGAUUUACUGGGUGUAAAGGGAGCGUAGACGUUGCAGCAAGUCUGAUGUGAAAGGUCGGGGCCCAACCCCGGGACGGCAUUAGAUACUGUUGGACUGGAGUACAGGAGAGGUAAGCGGAAUGCUGGGGGGAGCGGUGAAAUGCGUAGAUAUAGGGAGGAAAACCAGUGGCGAAGGCGGGUUACUGGACAGUAACUGACGUUGAGGCUCGAAGGCGAGGGGAGCGAAAGGGAUUAGAUACCCGGGUAGUC